UGGGACUUGCACAGUGCUCACUGGC
Molecule: non-coding RNA, 25 nt
Filed under: Cricetulus griseus (Chinese hamster)
Lineage: Eukaryota; Metazoa; Chordata; Mammalia; Rodentia; Cricetidae
Source: RNAcentral